This 484-nucleotide ribosomal RNA is filed under the name uncultured bacterium. RNAcentral describes it as "partial 16S ribosomal RNA". It matches the Rfam family "Bacterial small subunit ribosomal RNA", at positions 30 to 505 of the family's 1533-position model. The record is from RNAcentral.
AUUGAACGCUGGCGGCAUGCCUUACACAUGCGAGUCGAACGGCAGCACGGGUGCUUGCCCCUGGUGGCGAGUGGCGAACGGGUGAGUAAUACAUCGGAACAUGUCCUGUAGUGGGGGAUAGCCCGGCGAAAGCCGGAUUAAUACCGCAUACGAUCCACGGAUGAAAGCGGGGGACCUUCGGGCCUCGCGCUAUAGGGUUGGCCGAUGGCUGAUUAGCUAGUUGGUGGGGUAAAGGCCUACCAAGGCGACGAUCAGUAGCUGGUCUGAGAGGACGACCAGCCACACUGGGACUGAGACACGGCCCAGACUCCUACGGGAGGCAGCAGUGGGGAAUUUUGGACAAUGGGCGAAAGCCUGAUCCAGCAAUGCCGCGUGUGUGAAGAAGGCCUUCGGGUUGUAAAGCACUUUUGUCCGGAAAGAAAUCCUUGGCUCUAAUACAGUCGGGGGAUGACGGUACCGGAAGAAUAAGCACCGGCUAACUACG